Molecule: ribosomal RNA, 253 nt
Filed under: uncultured bacterium
Lineage: Bacteria
Description: partial 16S ribosomal RNA
Rfam family: Bacterial small subunit ribosomal RNA
Source: RNAcentral
UACGAAGGGGGCUAGCGUUACUCGGAAUCACUGGGCGUAAUGCGCACGUAGGCGGAUUGCUAAGUCAGGGGUGAAAUCCUGGAGCUCAACUCCAGAACUGCCUUUGAUACUGGCGAUCUUGAGUCCGGGAGAGGUGAGUGGAACUGCGAGUGUAGAGGUGAAAUUCGUAGAUAUUCGCAAGAACACCAGUGGCGAAGGCGGCUCACUGGCCCGGUACUGACGCUGAGGUGCGAAAGCGUGGGGAGCAAACAGG